Molecule: ribosomal RNA, 620 nt
Filed under: uncultured bacterium
Lineage: Bacteria
Description: bacterial SSU rRNA
Rfam family: Bacterial small subunit ribosomal RNA
Source: RNAcentral
CCUACGGGAGGCAGCAGUAGGGAAUCUUCCGCAAUGGACGAAAGUCUGACGGAGCAACGCCGCGUGAACGAUGAAGGCCUUCGGGUCGUAAAGUUCUGUUGUUAGGGAAGAACAAGUGCUAGUUGAAUAAGCUGGCACCUUGACGGUACCUAACCAGAAAGCCACGGCUAACUACGUGCCAGCAGCCGCGGUAAUACGUAGGUGGCAAGCGUUGUCCGGAAUUAUUGGGCGUAAAGCGCGCGCAGGCGGUUUCUUAAGUCUGAUGUGAAAGCCCCCGGCUCAACCGGGGAGGGUCAUUGGAAACUGGGAAACUUGAGUGCAGAAGAGGAAAGUGGAAUUCCAAGUGUAGCGGUGAAAUGCGUAGAGAUUUGGAGGAACACCAGUGGCGAAGGCGACUUUCUGGUCUGUAACUGACGCUGAGGCGCGAAAGCGUGGGGAGCAAACAGGAUUAGAUACCCUGGUAGUCCACGCUGUAAACGAUGAGUGCUAAGUGUUAGAGGGUUUCCGCCCUUUAGUGCUGAAGUUAACGCAUUAAGCACUCCGCCUGGGGAGUUACGGUCGCAAGACUGAAACUUAAGGAAUUGACGGCUGAGACGNGCGAGACGACGACGAGGGAGAGG